This is a long non-coding RNA of Gossypium arboreum, 241 nucleotides long. RefSeq lists it as uncharacterized. NCBI's taxonomy places the organism in Eukaryota, Viridiplantae, Streptophyta, Magnoliopsida, Malvales, Malvaceae. The transcript is spliced from 2 exons. The record is from RefSeq and is a predicted model, not a curated record.
AAUUGUAGGUGGUUCGUGUGUGGAUCUCGUCAGCAUAUCGUCGCAAAUAGGAAAUCCCCAACCAUAGUAGGCUUGGAGCUGUGAGGGAAUUCGGAGUGGCCACCCGUUCUGAAAGUUUGGUUUUCUUCUGGUGAACUGGACAUCCUAUUAUUUACGUUGAGGUUUGGGUUUUUAAAUGUAAUAAUGCCACUUAAUUAUUUUUGAUGGUUUUAAUAUGUAUUACUAAGAUAGGUAUUACUUA